RNAcentral lists this ribosomal RNA (676 nucleotides) under uncultured bacterium. Its description in RNAcentral is "bacterial SSU rRNA". It matches the Rfam family "Bacterial small subunit ribosomal RNA", at positions 153 to 847 of the family's 1533-position model. The record is from RNAcentral.
GAAACGAUGAUUAAAACCUCAUAACGCCGAAGGAACACAUGUUUCAUCGGCCAAAGAUUUAUCGGUCAGGGAUGGGCCUGCGUCUGAUUAACUAGUUGGUGAGGUAACGGCUCACCAAGGUGACGAUCAGUAGCCGACCUGAGAGGGUGAUCGGCCACAUUGGAACUGAGACACGGUCCAAACUUCUACGGAAGGCAGCAGUAGGGAAUCUUGCACAAUGGGCGAAAGCCUGAUGCAGCAACGCCGCGUGAAGGAUGAAGGCCUUCGGGUUGUAAACUUCUGUUCUUAGGGAAGAAGAAAGUGACGGUACCUAAGGAGAAAGCCCCGGCUAACUACGUGCCAGCAGCCGCGGUAAUACGUAGGGGGCAAGCGUUAUCCGGAAUUAUUGGGCGUAAAGAGUGCGUAGGUGGUUAUCUAAGCGUAAGGUUUAAGCGUGCAGCUCAACUGCAUCUCGCCUUGCGAACUGGACUACUUGAGUGCAGGAGGGGAAAGCGGAAUUCCUAGUGUAGCGGUGAAAUGCGUAGAUAUUAGGAGGAACACCAGCGGCGAAGGCGGCUUUCUGGACUGUAACUGACACUGAGGCACGAAAGCGUGGGGAGCAAACAGGAUUAGAUACCCUGGUAGUCCACGCCGUAAACGAUGAGCACUAGAUGUUGGUCCCGAAGGGAUCAGUGUC